RNAcentral lists this ribosomal RNA (446 nucleotides) under uncultured bacterium. RNAcentral's name for it is "partial 16S ribosomal RNA". It matches the Rfam family "Bacterial small subunit ribosomal RNA", at positions 338 to 795 of the family's 1533-position model. The record is from RNAcentral.
CCUACGGGGGGCAGCAGUCGAGAAUCAUUCACAAUGGGGGAAACCCUGAUGGUGCGACGCCGCGUGGGGGAAUGAAGGUCUUCGGAUUUUAAACCCCUGUCUUGUGGGAGCAAAGUAAAAAGAUAGUACCACAAGAGGACGAGACGGCUAACUCUGUGCCAGCAGCCGCGGGAAUACAGAGGUCUCAAGCGUGGUUCGGAAUCACGGGCGGUAAAGCGUGCGUAGGCUGUUUCGUAAGUCGUGUGUGAAAGGCGCGGGCUCAACCCGCGGACGGCACAUGAGACUGCGAGACUAGAGUAAUGGAGGGGGAACCGGAAUUCUCGGUGUAGCAGUGAAAUGCGUAGAUAUCGGGAGGAACACUCGUGGCGAAGGCGGGUUCCUGGACAUUAACUGACGCUGAGGCACGAAGGCCAGGGGAGCGAAAGGGAUUAGAUACCCGUGUAGUC